Caretta caretta (loggerhead turtle) is the source of this 16019-nucleotide non-coding RNA. The record is from RefSeq and is a predicted model, not a curated record. NCBI's taxonomy places the organism in Eukaryota, Metazoa, Chordata, Testudines, Cheloniidae.
GAGGGUGCUCCCGUGCCCGCCGCCAUGGUGCUGGAGUCGGUGGUGGCGGACUUGCUCAACCGCUUCCUGGGCGACUACGUGGAGAACCUCAACAAGUCUCAGCUCAAGCUGGGCAUCUGGGGGGGUAACGUGGCACUAGAUAACUUGCAGAUAAAAGAGAAUGCGCUGAGUGAACUGGAUGUGCCUUUUAAAGUUAAGGUUGGGCAAAUAGAUAAACUUACUCUGAAGAUUCCUUGGAAAAAUCUGUAUGGUGAGGCAGUGGUUGCAACACUAGAAGGCUUAUAUCUGCUCAUUGUUCCUGGAGCAAGUAUUAAAUACGAUGUGGAGAAGGAAGAAAAAUACUUGCAGGAUAAUAAGCAAAAAGAGCUAUCAAGAAUUGAAGAAGCUCUGCAAAAAUCAGCAGAGAAAGGCACGCAUUCAGGAGACACCAUAUAUGGCUUGGAGAGUUUUGUUUGCAAGGAUAACAAGCCUGGACGUAAGCGUAAAAAGCAUAAAAAGCAUUUUAAGAAACCCUUUAAAAGUCAUGAUCACUCAAAAGAUAAGCCAAAGGCAGAGAAAAAAGAUACAUUCUUGGAAAAGCUGGCAACUCAAGUUAUAAAAAAUGUACAAGUCAAAAUCACAGGCAUUCAUGUUAAAUACGAAGAUGAUAUCACAGAUCCUCUUCGGCCACUUUCUUUGGGAGUGACAUUGGGUGAACUUAGUUUACUGACAGCCAAUGAAAACUGGACACCUUCCAUUUUAAAUGAAGCUGCAAAAAUCAUAUACAAGCUCCUGAGUCUUGAUUGCCUCAGUGUCUACUGGAAUGUGGAUAGCAAGAUGUAUUAUCAUGGCUCCCGUGAACAAAUACUGGAUCAGCUGAAAAGAGGAGUUCCUUCUAGCAGUAAUCAGCCUAAAAACUACCAGUAUAUUUUUAGGCCAGUAUCAGCCUCUGCAAAACUCUACAUCAACCCGCAUGCGGAAACUGAAUUAAAAACUCCAAAGCUUGAUUGGAAUAUAGAAGUACAGAAUAUUGCCAUUGAACUCACUAAGCCACAGUACCUCAGUAUGAUUGACCUUCUGGAGUCCAUAGAUUACAUGGUUCGAAAUGUACCAUACAGAAAAUACAGACCAGAUGUACCUCUACAUAAAAAUGCCAAACAGUGGUGGAAAUAUGCAGCUAACAGCAUUCUUGAAGUUCAUAUCAGAAGAUGCACUCGCAUGUGGUCAUGGAGUAACAUGAAACAUCAUAGGCAGCUUUUGAAGAGCUACAAAAGUAUGUACAAGAACAAACUAACACAGAGCAAACUAUCAGAAGAAACACGACGACAAAUUCAGGAUCUAGAAAGAGCACUGGACAUUUUCAACAUCAUUUUAGCAAGACAGCAAGCACAAGUUGAGGUAAUAAGAUCAGGGCAGAAAUUGCUGAGGAAGAAAUCUGCUGAUGGAGAGAAGAAAGGUGGAGGAUGGUUUAGUGGGUUCUGGGGUAAGAAGGAAUCUAGAAAAAAGGAAGAUGAAGAAUCACCAGUUCCUGAAACCAUUGAUGACCUCAUGACCCCAGAAGAAAAGGCUAAGCUCUUUACUGCUAUUGGGUAUAGUGACAGCUCUCACAACUUGACUUUACCUAAGAAGUAUGUUGCUCAUGUAAUGACACUGAAGCUGUUAAGUACUUCUCUUACAAUUAAAGAAGACAAGGAUGUGCCAGAGACUCUUAAAGUACAGAUAAUUGAUCUAAGCACGAAAAUAUCUCAGAGACCAGGAGCACAAGCACUUAAAGUGGAGGCAAAGCUUGAGCACUGGUAUGUAACAGGACUGAAACAACAAAGUAUCGUGCCUUCUCUUGUGGCUUCUAUUGGGGAUACCAAAUCAUCUUUGCUUAAAAUAGUGUUUGAGACAAAUCCAGAAGAUAGUACUGCUGACCAGAGCCUUAUAGUUGAAUCACAGCCUGUGGAAAUCAUAUAUGAUGCUAGAACAAUAAAUGCAAUGGUGGAAUUCUUCCAGACAAGUAAGGGAAUGGAUCUGGAACGACUAACAUCAGCCACGUUGAUGAAGUUGGAAGAAAUUAAAGAAAGAACUGCUACAGGACUAGCUCAUAUUAUUGAAACACGGAAAGUGCUUGACUUGAGGAUUAAUCUGAAACCAUCCUAUCUUGUGGUUCCACAGACCGGUUUCCACAAUGAAAAGUCAGACCUACUUAUUUUGGACUUCGGUACGUUUCAGUUGACCAGCAUAAAUCAAGGGGGUCAUCAAUCUUCUAGUUUUUCAUCCUUGGAAGAGAUUAUGGACAAAGCUUAUGACACGUUUGAUGUGGAAAUCAAGAAUGUACAACUUCUUUUUGGCAGAAGAGGUGAAGACUGGAAGAAGGCUCGAUUUCAGCAUCCAUCUGCUUUGCACAUAUUACAGCCUAUGGAUAUGCAUGUGCAAUUAGCCAAAUCAAUGGUGGAGAAAGACCUCAGAAUGGCUAAGUUUAAAGUUUCAGGAGGCCUUCCCCUGGUACAUGUGAGGCUUUCUGACCAAAAGAUUAAGGGGAUUUUUGAUCUGAUUGAUAGCAUUCCGUUUCCUCAGAUGUCAGCCAUGUCAGUUCAAAGCACAAAGGUACCUGCUAUCCCCACGGUUACUGAUGUGAGGAAAGGGUUACUUGACACGUCAAUAUUGCUGGAAGGAGUAGAGUCAGAGUCUGAUGAAUAUUUUGAUGCUGAAAAUUCUUUUUCACUAACUGAAAAGGCUCUACCUGAGGGACAUGAUCUAAAAAACAAAACAGAGGCUAUUAAUGAGGAGUUCAUAGACCUUCAGUUGAAGUUUGAAAUUAAAGAGGUGGUUUUAGAACUCACAAAGCAACAAAAAAUAGAGGAAACAAUACUUGUAUUUAAUGUAAUGCAGCUCGGAACAGAAGCUACAGUCAGAACAUACGACUUAACAGCUGUAUCUUACUUAAAGAAAAUCAGCUUGGAUUACCACAAAAUUCAAGAUAAACGACCACUUCACUUAAUUAGCUCUUCAGAUGGACCUGGAUUAGACCUUUUGAAAGUGGAAUAUAUCAAGGCUGACAAAAAUGGUCCAAAAUUUCAGUCAAGCUUUGACAACACUGAACAAACAUUUCAGGUGGCCUUUUCGUCAUUAAAUUUUCUGCUACAUACACAGGCCCUUCUCUCUACUAUCAAUUUUCUAACAAGUGUUAUUCCAUCAAGCAGUCCAAGUGCUGGUGACAUAGGACACUUGCAAACACAAGGAGAAAAGCAGCAAAAAGAUACGAGUGUGAAGAAAGUAGUGACCAAAGCUGCCAAGGAUAAGGAAGUUAUUGACUUCAAGCUGUUUGCCAAGUUGGAUUCCUUCUGUUUAAAUGUGUGUGAUGAAAAGAACAACAUUGCUGAAAUCAAAAUACAAGGUGUCGAUUCAUCGCUCAUUCUUCAGCCAAGUCACACUGUGCUCUUUGCCCGUCUUAAAGACAUAGUUGUCACAGAUGUUGAUUCAAGGACUAUUCAUAAAAAGGCUGUCUCUAUAGUAGGAGAUGAAGUCUUCAGUUUCAACCUGGCACUGUAUCCAGUUGCUACUGAGGGAGAAGCUUACACUGAUAUGUCCAAAGUGGAUGGUAUUGUCUCUCUGAAAGUGGGCUGCAUUCAGAUAGUUUAUCUUCAUAAAUUCCUCAUGUCACUUCUGAACUUUCUGAACAACUUUCAAACAGCAAAGGAGGCACUGAGUGCUGCUACAGUUCAAGCUGCAGAAAAGGCUGCUACUAGCGUGAAAGAUCUGGCUGAGAGGAGUCUUCGCCUUUCAAUGGAUAUUCAUCUGAAAGCGCCAGUUAUAAUCAUACCUCAGUCUUCAGUGUCCCAUAAUGCUGUCUUAAUAGAUCUUGGUUUGAUCAGGGUACAAAACAAGUUUAGCCUGGUACCUGCUGAAGGCUGCUCACUUCCUCCAGUCAUUGAUAAAAUGGAUGUGCAGCUCACGAAGCUUAAGCUGUCUAGGACAAUUAUACAGCCUGGUUUUUCACAGCCUGACAUUCAGAUACUUCAUCCUAUUAAUCUGAAUCUGUCUGUGAAUCGAAAUCUAGCUGCAACUUGGUAUCACAAAAUUCCUAUGUUAGAAAUCAAAGGGCAUCUUGACACAAUGAAUGUUAUUUUAAGUCAAGAGGAUUUGAAUGUUCUGCUUAAAGUACUGACAGAAAACCUUGGUGAAGCAGAUGAAAUGUUAAGUAAAGCAAAGCCAAUAGUGCAAAAGGAAGGAAAAAUUAAAGGAACUGAGAUACCUCUGUCAACACAGAAUGAGAGUACUUCAGGAGAAAGCUUACCUGGUACAACAAAAGUAGCAUUACGUGAAGAUGUAACCAACAUGCUCCUUAAUUUUGAAAUCAAAGAGGUUGUGGUAACCUUGAUGAGACAGGUGCAAAAGGAGGGGCAUCCCUUACAUAUUCUAACUGUGCUGCAGCUUGGAACUGAAACCAGAAUCGGAAACCACGAUAUGACUGCAACAGCAUAUCUGAAUAAAAUUACUUUGAAGUGCCUUGAAUUUACUGACUCAAAAGGAGAUCCUCUUCAUAUUAUUAAUUCUUCAGAUGAGACUGGUGAACACCUUCUGAAAAUGGAAUACAUAAAGGCUGAUGCAGAUGGACCAGACUUUACCACUACUUACAAAAAUACCAAACAAGCUGUCAACGUGUCCUUUUCAUCUUUGGAUCUAAUACUCCACACAGAAGCCUUACUUUCCAUCAUGAACUUUGUCACAUACAGUGUUCCAUCAGGUGGCCUUACCAGCUCUGAUAAAGGAUUUGACCCAAAACCUCAACGAGAGGAACAAAAAAGCGCUGUUAUCAAAGCAGUAUCUAGUGGUGCAGCCCAUGAAGAUGUAUAUGACUUGAAACUUACUGUGAAGUUGAAUGCAUUCAACAUUUUUGUCUGUGAUCAGAAAUGUAACAUUGCAGACAUUAAAAUACAAGGAAUGGAUGCUUCUGUUUCUAUGAAAACUAAAAAGAUAAAGGUUUUUUCCAGACUUGAAGACAUCAUAAUCACAAAUGUUGAUCCAAAGACCAUUCAUAAAAAGGCUGUCUCCAUAGUGGGAGAGGAAGUGUUUCGAUUCAAAAUGGUCCUUUAUCCAAACGCAACUGAAGGAGAAGACUACACCGAUAUGUCCAAAGUGGAUGGUAAAAUGUGUCUAAAAGUGGGCUGCAUUCAGAUAGUUUAUCUCCAUAAAUUCUUCAUGUCACUUCUGAACUUCCUGAACAAUUUCCAAGCAGCAAAGGAAGCCCUGAGUGCAGCUACAGUCCAGGCUGCAGAAAUGGCUGCUUCCAGCAUGAAAGAUUUUGCUAAGAAGAGCUUCCGCCUUUCAAUGGAUAUCAACUUAAAAGCUCCAGUUUUAGUCAUCCCUGAGUCUUCGGUCUCCCAUAAUGCUCUGGUAGCAGAUCUUGGUUUGAUCAGAGUUCAGAAUGAAUUUAAAUUGGACUUCACAGAUAAAUCUUCUGUCCCUCCAGUCAUUGACAGCAUGGAUGUGCAGCUCACUCAUUUGAAGCUAUCAAGGAGUAUUAUACCCACUGCUUCUCAACCAGAUGUUGAAAUUUUACAGCCAGUAAAUCUGGUUUUGUCAGUUCAGAGAAAUUUAGCUGCAGCGUGGUAUCACGAUAUUCCAGCAAUUGGGAUCAAAGGAGACCUAAAACCUAUGCAGAUUGCUGUCAGUGAAGAUGACCUAACUGUCCUCAUGAAAAUUUUGCUGGAUAACCUUGGAGAUGCUUCUUCCCAGUCUAGUGCUACACAACAGACCCUUCAAGAAGCUCAAAAAACAAAAAAGGAAAAAGAUCAAAGUGAUUCUCAUCUCUGUGAAGAUCCUGGUCUCACUUCAGGACAAACAGAUAUUUCUGCAUUACAGCCUCCCUUGGAAUAUUAUUCAACUCUUAAAUUUGACUUCAAUUUUGAGUCACUUUCAAUAGUUCUUUACAUCAAUGACCGUAAUGAGCAGUCCCUGCUUUCACUGCAUAGUGACAAUUUACGCCUUGGUGAACUCAGACUACAUCUCAUGGCAUCAUCAGGGAAGAUGUUUUCAGAUGGUUCAAUGGAUGUUAAUAUUAAACUCAAGACGUGUACCCUGGAUGAUCUCAGAGAAGGGAUUCAGAAAGUAACAGCGAGAAUGAUUGACAAGAAAUACAACAAGACAGAUAAUUAUAUGAUUGAUAUAAACUACAAGCAAGAUACAAAUGGCAUUGAAGUAGUUGCUAUCCUUGAUAAACUAUAUGUGUGCGCCAGUGUGGAGUUCCUGCUAACAGUGGCAGACUUCUUCAUUAAAUCCAUGCCAACAGCUUCAACUGAAAGGUCUACUCAGGUUCAGUUAAAGCAUGCCCCUGGAAAGCCCAAACAUGACAAAGAGGGUUCCUUACGGCCAAACAUGACAGUAAAAGCAGUGGUCCUGGACCCAGAAAUUGUAUUUGUUGCCAAUUUGACCAAGGCUGAUGCUCCUGCCUUAAAAGCUUCAUUCCAGUGUGAUUUCUCUUUAUCAUCUGAUAAGCUUGCACAAAGGAUGACAGCUCAAGUGAAGGAUGUAAAAGUGCUGGCCUGUGCUUUCCUCAGAGAAAAGCAGGACAAGAAUAUCACCACUGUGUUACAGCCUUGUUCUUUGGUGGUGGAAAAUAUGACACAUGUUUCAGGAUUGCAAAGUAUGGCAGUGACAAUAGAACAACUUAUUAUAAAGAUUUCACCAAUCAUUUUGAAUACUGUGAUGACUAUAAUGGCUGCCAUAAAACCAAAGGCCAAAGAAGAGGAUUCCAAAGGGACAACAAGUGAUUCUGGCAACUUGUGGGAUGUGAAAUCCAUUAACCAAUGCAAUGCUUGGUUCCUUGGUGUUGAUGUAGCCACGGAAGCAACUGAAACUUUCACGGACAGUGAGCACGCUCUGAAAAAUGAGAAUUUUGACGUUGGUGUGAAAUCAGUUCAGAUCACCUUGGAAUGUGGUCUGGGACAUCGCACUGUUCCUUUAUUAUUAAUAGAAUCAGCAUUUUCAGGAACACUUAAAAACUGGUCUUCCCUGUUGGGUGCCACUGCUGACUUGACACUGGAGGUUCAUUAUUACAAUGAAACUUAUGCAGUGUGGGAGCCUCUUAUUGAACGAAUUGAUGGAGGAAGGAAACCAUGGAAUUUAAAACUUGAAAUAAAGACUAACCCUAUACAAGAUAAAAGUUUGAUACCUGGGGAUGAUUUUGUUGUUCUUCCUGAAGCACAAACUGUGGUUAACAUCUCUUCAAAGGAUACAAUGAAUAUAACAAUAUCCAAAUGUUGUCUUGCUGUUUUCAAUAAUUUAGCCAAGGCAUUUUCUGAAGGGACUGCCUCCACUUUUGAUUAUUCUUUAAAAGAUAGGGCUCCUUUUACAGUGAAAAAUGCACUGGGUGUCCCUCUCAAAGUGCAUCCUACCAUCAAUCUUCGAGUGGUUGGUUCAACCUUAAAAGAAGAUAUUCAUGAUGUAGAAAUUGGUCAGAAUUUGGAACUGGAAUAUUCAGUUUUGGAACCUCUGCAUCGAGGAAAGCUGUCGGCAUUAUACCGUCAAGAGAGCUGCCUGUUCACUUUGAGCUUAGCGCCUCUAGGCUAUACAGAAGUGGCAAACAUCCCCAUUGCAAAACCAGGCCGACGAUUGCACAGUGUACGGACUCCUCUUGUCGACCACUCGGACUCUGUUCUGGUACAGAUAGAUGCAGCUGAAGGGAAUAAAGUUAUUACCAUACGGUCUCCUCUGCAGAUCAAGAAUCAUUUCUCUGUCCCAUUUACAAUCUACAAAUUUGUUAGAGAUGUUAGACUGCUGGAGCCAAUAGGAGUAUCUAAGCCUGAAGAGGAAUUCCAUGUUCCUUUAGAUUCAUACAGGUGUCAUCUAUUUAUUCAACCAACAGGGAUCUUAGAAGGUCAAUUUAAAGAAUCCACAACUUACAUUGCCUGGAGAGAAGAGCUUCACAGAAGUAGUGAAGUGAGAUGUAUGUUACAGUGCCCUUCUACCGAAGUAAGCUUCUUGCCUCUAAUAGUCAUGACAACUGCUGUUCCUGAUCAACUAAACUUUAUUGCAACUCACGGGGAGGACUGGGAUCCAGCCUACAUUAUCCAUCUUUACCCAACGCUCACUUUGAGGAAUCUUCUGCCAUACUCUUUGAGAUAUUUACUUGAGGGAACCGCAGAAGCUCAUGAGUUGCUAGAAGGGAGUGCUGCUGAUGUUCUUCACUCAAGAAUCAAUAGGGAAAUAAUGGAGUUAGUUCUGAUAAAAUAUCAGGGUAAAAACUGGAAUGGACAUUUUAGAGUCCAUGAUGGGCUGCCAGAAUUUUUUCCUGUGUGUUUUACCUCCAAUUCCACAGAUAUGAUGACAAUAGAUAUCUAUGUACAUGUUAGGCAAGUUGGUAGCCGUAUGAUCCUGUCUGUGUUCAGUCCUUAUUGGAUAAUCAAUAAGACUUCCCGGGUUCUCCAGUAUCGUGCUGAAGAUAUACAUGUGAAACACCCAGCAGAUUACAGGGAUACUAUCCUGUUUUCCUUUAAGAAAAGGAACAUUUUUAGUAAAAACAAGAUCCAAUUGUGUAUUUCAACUAGUUCAUGGUCCACUAGCUUCUCCCUUGAUACUGUAGGAAGUUAUGGAUGUGUAAAGUGCCCAGGCAAUGACAGGGACUAUCUGGUUGGAGUUAGCAUCAAAAUGAGUAGUUUUAAUCUCACCAGGAUAGUUACCUUAACUCCGUUCUACACCAUAGCAAACAAUUCUUCUCUGGAGCUGGAAGUUGGAGAAAUCAAGUCUAAUGGCUCUUUGCCAACUCGUAAUUGGAAUUAUUUCUCAUCUUCAGAGUGUCUUCCAUUUUGGCCUGAAAAUUUGUCUGGUAAAUUAUGUGUCAGAGUGGUGGGCUGUGAAAGUGCAUCCAAACCGUUCUUCUGUAAUACACAGGACAAUGGUACUUUGUUAAGUCUGGAAGAGUUGAAUGGAGGCAUACUGGUAAAUGUGAACAUUUCUGAAAAUUCUACAGUCAUAAACUUCUCAGAUUACCAUGAGGGAGCUGCUCCAGCUCUCAUCAUUAACCAGACUCCAUGGGACACCCUUAAAUAUAAACAGAGUGGGUUACAGGAUGAGAUGGAGUUAAAACCAAAGGAGGUGCGACUGUUUGCCUGGGCAGAUCCCACUGGAAUAAGAAAACUAACUUGGACGUAUGCGCAAAAUGUUGGUGAACAUGAUCUGCUUAAGGAUGAAUGUGGUCAAUUUCCUUAUAAUUCAAAUACUCAGAUACACUGGGUGUCCUUUUUGGAUGGACGUCAGAGAGUACUGCUUUUUACAGACGACGUUGCAUUAGUUUCUAAAGCACGGCAAGCAGAGGAGAUGGAGCAACCUGAUCAAGAAAUAAACUUGUCACUUCAUAGUCUUGGACUUUCUCUGGUCAACAAUGAGAGUAAACAAGAAAUCGCAUACAUAGGGAUUACUAGUUCUGGUGUUGUCUGGGAAUUGAAACCAAAGCAGAGAUGGAAGCCAUUUAAUCAAAAGCAGAUAAACCUGUUGGAAAAAGCCUAUCAGAAAUACCUUUCCACAAACACCAUGGAGGAUCUGGGCUGGGUUAAAAUAGACAACAACUUUGAGGUGAAUUUUGGUAAGAUGCCAAUGAAAAUGCGCCUCCCAAUCAAAUGCAGUAUUCGACGAAACUUCCUAUCGGGCAUUCAUAUUGAGUUCAAACAGUCUCCUCACCAAAGAAGCUUACGGGCACAGUUGAAUUGGCUUCAGGUUGAUAACCAGUUACCUGGUCCAAUGUUCCCAGUUGUGUUUCACCCUGUAGCCCCUCCCAAGUCAAUAGCUUUGGAUUCAGAGCCAAAACCAUUCAUAGAUAUCAGCAUCAUCACUAGGUUCAAUGAGUACAGUAAAGUACUGCAGUUCAAAUAUUUUAUGGUUCUUAUCCAGGAGAUGGCAUUGAAAUUGGAUCAGGGGUUUCUAGGAGCACUUAUUGGGCUUUUCACGCCAUCUACAGAUCCAGAAGCUGAACGGCAAAGGACAAAGUUAAUUCAGCAAGAUGUAGAUGCUCUUAAUACUGAAUUGAUGGAAUCUUCCUUAACUGAUAUGUCAACCCUCAGUUUCUUUGAGCACUUCCAUAUUUCUCCAAUUAAGUUGCAUUUGAGUCUGUCUUUGGGUUCAGGUGGAGAAGAAUCAGAUAAGGACAAAAAAGAAAUGAUCGCUAUUCAUUCAGUCAACUUGCUAUUGAAAAGUAUUGGGGCUACUCUGACUGAUGUGGAUGAUCUUAUAUUUAAACUUGCUUUCUUUGAAAUUAAGUAUCAGUUUUACAGGCAAGAUGAGCUGAUAAGGAGAGUUGUUACACAUUAUAGUGAACAAUUCUUGAAGCAGAUGUAUGUUCUUGUACUGGGUUUAGAUGUCCUGGGAAAUCCAUUUGGCUUAAUCAGAGGUUUGUCUGAGGGUGUGGAAGCUUUCUUCUAUGAGCCUUUUCAGGGAGCUGUUCAAGGACCUGAAGAAUUUGCUGAGGGCUUUGUGAUUGGUGUAAAGAGUCUUCUUGGUCACACAGUAGGGGGCGCUGCCGGGGUGGUAUCUCGGAUCACUGGUUCCGUUGGAAAAGGCUUGGCUGCUAUAACUAUGGACAAAGAAUACCAGCAAAAACGGAGAGAGGAGAUGGGCCGUCAGCCGAAGGACUUUGGUGACAGUUUGGCCAAAGGAGGAAAAGGCUUUUUACGGGGUAUUGUUGGUGGUGUGACUGGAAUAAUCACUAAACCUGUAGAAGGGGCUAAAAAGGAAGGUGCAGCUGGAUUCUUCAAAGGAGUUGGAAAAGGGCUUGUAGGUGUUGUGGCCCGCCCGACAGGUGGCAUCGUAGAUAUGGCAAGCAGUACCUUCCAGGGAAUUCAGAGGGUGGCAGAAUCAACUGAAGAGGUAUCUAGUCUCCGUCCUCCACGUCACAUUCACGAAGAUGGCAUUAUCCGGCCAUAUGACAGGCGUGAAGCUGAGGGUUAUGAUUUAUUUCAGAACUCUCAUAUCAGAAAGCUGGAAGGAGAAAGUUACCGAUACCACUGUGUGCUUCCAGGAGGCAAGAAGACAAACCUUGUUGUUACCAAUAGGAGGCUGAUGUGUGUAAAAGACGUGGAUAUCCUAGGCCAUGUAACAGACUGGGAUUAUUUAUUUGAAGAUUUUACACAUCCUCCUUCUGUUGAAACAAAUAUACUAAAAAUCACUGUGAAGGAUCAGGGGCUAUUAAUGUUCCAAAAAAAGGACCAUGCAGCUCAUGAAUGUCUGAAGAAAAUUCAACUGAAGGAUGAAACUACUGCAAGGAGAAUUUGUCGUGCUGUUGACGAAGCCCAAGCAGCAAGACAGCAGCAAAAAUUGGUGAAGAAAGCUUCACUGAAAUUAAUCAAACCACAACCACCACCCCAAUGAUAACAGGGCUUGCCUUUGGUUUAACCAGUGGUCAGCAGAGAUUUAUAUUCCAGAAAAACUAUUGUCUAUUUGUGCUAAAAUGACAUAUAUCAGGGGAGUCCAACACCCCCUUCCAAAGCCUCCAAACAAUAGAUGGGUUUCAGUGGGUUGAGGAGGAAGAGGAUAUGAGGAAGGAGAAGAUGGGAUGAUGGGCAUAGAGGAGCAAAGGACAUCUCAAAAAGUCCCAUUCUCCUGCACCUGAGGGUACUGGCAAGCUCAAACUUUAUGAUCUCCAGUGGGUGGGGAGGCAUCACCUCUUUCAACUGAAUCAUCUCCUAAGAAGAGCACAAUCGGAGAUUGGGGCAAACACAAAGAAGGCCAUAUGGGUGCCCAUGUGCGGACUGUUCACAGACAAGCAUGUCUGCAUGGAGAGCUGCAUCCCUUUGGGAGGGCUCUGGUAGAAGGAUGGGCUCCAGAAAGAGCAUGGAAGUGUGGAGUGACAUCCUGAGGUGGUUCCCUGCAGCAAGGCAGAUCAUUGGACAUCGAUCUCCAUUGCUUUACAGUUGCUGCUCUUAGGUUUUUAUCAUCCCCUGAGACGUUUGGAUAUUUUAAGGCUUUUCCUCUUAUUCCUACACUGUGUCCCUGGACUGGUGGCAGCCCUGUUCCCGGGUCAAAGCUCCUAGCGGCAUCAGGAGUUGGAUGCCAUCCUGCCUUGGCAUGAUACGAAGCAGAUGUGUGAACCUCUGUCCUGAUGAGAGGGUGGAAGAAGAUGAGUAUAUGCCAGAUUUGUUUCUGCAUCACAAGUCUAUAUGAGGCCAAAUAGUUUGACAUGGUCAAUUUUCUUUUUUUUUUCUUAACCCAGGUGUCCAACUGCCUCUUAGUAUAAUCCAUCAAUUACUAUAAGAGUAUUACUCCUUCCUCUCUUAUCCUAAGUAGUGUGACAGGGUCAGACCAGAUGGCUACAGAAGAGUGAUAGAAGGCAGAUAUAUUAGUCCCAGAUUAAGUAGAUCCUUUUCCCUGGGUAAGGUGACAGGGGCAGUUCCAGAACAAGCUGGAACUGGUUAAGUCACACCUGGUAGAUUCGGGGAGUGCUAUCACGCUUAUAUCAGGGAAGCUCAUGAAGCGUAGUCAGCCGCUGCAGGCUAAACGUAUGGAGAUAACAUGCAUCCAUGGGACAGUUAGUUACUACCCCACCAUCCCAGUAAAAAUUGAAAUCCAAGGGAACACUACUGAGGUAACAGCAGGUGUAGUCCCUAAACUCCCAUACCCGGUGCUCAUAGGGAGGGACUUUCCAGGGCUUAGAGACUUAUUCCCAGUUGGAGGAUUGGAGAAAGAGGGGAACCCUGAAAUUAGUGAGGCAUCUACAGUAGAUUGUCAACCCCCAAUCGUCUCAGAAAUAUCCCCAGAUUUGUUCUCCACUCCUAGAUAGGGGAGAAAGACGAAAAGUGAAAGAAGGGCAGCUAGCUAAGGCCUUGGGAACCCGAAUACUGGCCCAAAGCCAGAGGGUCUCACUCUUAGGGAGGUGGACCCAAGCAGCCUGGAGCCAAUUAAGAAGAAGCUGCGAGAAUCAAUUAGGACAGGCUGACUAAUCAGGGCACCUGGUUUAAAAAGGACUUCACUUCAUUUAGGGAGAGACGUGUAAGGAGCUGGGAGUGAGAGGAUGUGCUGCUGGAUGACUGAGGAGUACAAGCGUUAUCAGACACCAGGAGGAAGGUCCUGUGGUGAGGCUAAAGAAGGUGUUGGGAGGAGGCCAUGGGGAAGUAGCCCAGGGAGUUGUAGCUGUCGCACAGCUGUUCCAGGUGGCAUUCUAGACAGCUGCAAUCCACAGGGCCCUGGGCUGGAACCCGGAGUAGAGGGUGGGCCUGGGCUCCCCCGCAAACCUCUCAACUCCUGAUCAGACACAGGGGGAGUUGACCUCGACUGUGAGUUCCACCAGAGGGGAGGUCUCUGGGUUGUUCUCCGACCUACAUGGUGGAUCAGCAGAGACUGUGGGGGUGGUUGUUCUCUUUUUCCCCAUGCUGGCCAGUGAUGAGGUUAACUGAGUGAAUGGCAGAUUUGACCAAACUGAGGGCUGCCAUUAAUCUCUGAGGCGAGCAAAUCCGCCAAUAAGCACAGGACCCACCAAGAUAGAGGAGGAACUUUGUCACAGUAGAAAUAAACCAAAUUUCUUUCUGAGGAAUCGGAGCUCAAUCUUUGCACUCCAGGAGAAUUCUGGAUUGUAUUAUACUGUGAUUACUGUUUAUUGGUCUCAAUCUCUUAGCCACAUAGUUACAUCUAUUAUAAUAUUUUUCUGAUUUUGCUGUAAUGUCUCUCCUACAUCGUCUGUUUUUAUUUAUCUAACUUCUUUACUAAGUUAAUUUUUGUUUCUUGUUUUUUAGUUUCAAGUUAGUUACCCAAAGAGGGAUAGAAUCAUAGAAUAUCAGGGUUGGAAGGGACCUCAGGAGGUCAUCUAGUCCAACCCCCUGCUCAAAGCAGGACCAAUCCCCAACUAAAUGAUCCCAGCCAGGGCUUUGUCAAGCCUGACCUUAAAAACCUCAAAGGAAGGAGAUUCCACCACCUCCCUAAGUAACGCAUUCCAGUGUUUCACCACCCUCCUAGUGAAAAAGUUUUUCCUAAUAUCCAACCUAAACCUCCCCCACAGCAACUUGAGACCAUUACUCCUUGUUCUGUCAUGACAGAUGAAUUCCCCGCUCUCUAUAGAUGGCCAGGUUGUGGAAUUUGACAAUGGUAAUGCCUUAACUUGGUUGGUAUCAGUCUCUCACUGUGGUUGAGAAGGUAGCUUUCACUUAGUUGUUUGCCUGAUGUUCAACAUUAGGAAGGGACUGGGUAUUUUGGUUACAUUUUCAUCUUUCAUGUUUGGAGUUCGUAUAUCAUAAUGAGCAGUUUUCACUCUUGAAAGUAUAGUAUGUGCCACUGUAAGAGUCCCCAAGUUACUGAUGGACAACUGUGUUCCCUCAAUUCACCAAUCUGGUAUGCCUCUUAUACUGCUUCGCAGUGAGAGCAACCACUCCUGGUCUGCUCUCUCUUAGCCUCCAGUAUGUAAAUCACUCCCACCGAUAUUGUGUGAGUGCUAUAGCCAGCCACUCACGAAUUACACUAGAACAUGUGGGGAGAGAGAUGUUCACUUUGACUUCACUUAGCUUGUUAAGUUAGGAUUUAGUUUGUGUUUUACCUUUUAUUUCUUUGUAACCAAUUCUGAUUUUUAUGCCUCAUUACUUGUAAUCACUUAAAAUCUAUCUUUCCAUAGCUAAUAAACUCGUUUUAUUGUCUUAUCUUAAAUGAGCGUGUGCUUUGACAUUUUUGGGAAACUCCUUUUGAAAAACAAGGCUUUCUAUUAAUGAAAUGAUGGACUUUAUAUGAGCUUGUAUUGUCCAGGAGGAUGCUGUGCAAUAUAAGAUACAUUUCUGGGGAAAAGUCUGGGACUAGGAGUCUUCUGGUGUCACCUGCAAUAUAAUUCAUGAAUGGCUGGCUAUAGCACUCAUACAGUAUAGCUGGGAGUGAUCUGCAUGCUGGAGACUGUGAGAGAGCAGACCAGGAGUGGUUGCUCUCUGUGAAGCAGUGUAAGAGACAUCCCAGGUUGGUGAAUUGAAGGAGCAUAGCUGUCCAUCGGUCCAGAUUGUACACCAGUGAAUGUCAUAGCCACUUACUUGGGUCACCGUUUUAUUCAGAUGUCCCCGGGGAGCCAAAUUAGCCAAAUGAAUGUCAAUGUCACCUUAUUCAGGACAGCAUUAGUAAAAAUUCCACUCUUACCAGACCUACCUCUGAACCGUUGGCUGUGGAUGGUUCUGUGAUGCUCCAGAGCCAGUGCAAAGCAGUCAAAGUGUACUUGUUAUUCUCACCCUUAAUCUGCAAUUAAUUUACAGCGCUGUGUUACAGGAUAGGAUAGAGACACUGAAAGGAGGGUGGGGGUAAUAAGCCCACGUCUUGAGUUCCAAUAUGUCUGUGGUUUUAGGCUUCCCCAUAUGUUCUUAUCUCCAUUCCCCUGGCACUGCUGCCUCUGUGCCCAGUUUUCAGAGGGGUAGCCAUGUUAGUCUGUAUCAGCAAAAACAAUGAGGAUGCUGAUGAUGAAGUGGGGUUUAGCCCACGAAAGCUUAUGCCCAAAUAAAUGUGUUAGUCUCUGAGGUGCCACAGGGACUCCUCUGUGCCCAGUGGAGAUGAGGCAGCAUUGCCAGUGGGAGCCUUUCAAGAUCUGAUACCCAGAUCAAGUAUUAUCUUUAAAGAGCAAUGAGACUGGGCUAAAUGUACCUGUGAAAACUUUUGACAUAUGUGCCCACUCUGGCUUGUCCCACUGAUUCAUUACAACCUAUAAAAUUGUUGCAUGCUAAUAUGCUAUAGAGGACAGGUGGGGAGUUAGAACUUAAGUUACCUGAGCUGUUGCAACUUUCUUAUAGCUUAUAAUCAGAAAACAAUCAGAUACAAUGGUUAAUACCUUAGUUUAAUUACAAUCUAAUGUGAGUGUUGUGCAAUUUUUGUGCAAGACUUUUUCUGUUGUAAAUUGGAAUGAUAUAUCAGUGUGAUGAAGAUUGUUUGAGGAGUGGUUCGUUAUCCUUUUUUAUACGUAAGAUUCUUCUAGAAUGGACCACAAAGUGUCUAACUUUUCCUUAAUGGUAGCUUGUGCCAGUAUUAUGAAACCAUCUUGAUGUAACCCAUUAAAAAGAAAGCUUAAAAAACAGGCUGCUGCUAGCAAUAAAUGUCAAGAGAAUCGGUAUCUCGUC